Molecule: long non-coding RNA, 645 nt
Organism: Pimephales promelas (fathead minnow)
Lineage: Eukaryota; Metazoa; Chordata; Actinopteri; Cypriniformes; Leuciscidae
Source: RefSeq, a predicted model, not a curated record
GAUGGAUUUGAUGAUGGUGCAAGGGAGGGAUCCAAAUGCUGAGACCACACUGAAAAUCUGAAUGUUUAAGGCUGGGAAUGAACACCCACGCACGCUCUUUGGCGUUGAACCUGUCCAUGCAUAAUCCGAGGGUAGAUCGCAUUUCCUGCCUGAAGACGAAGGCAGAGGCGCAGCCGACCCCCGGGGAGGUAUGGACGGGACCAUCCUGGUGGUGGUGGGGAGGGUUGGUAAUUGUUGCAUCAGCAUCUGCGAACUCAAACAUGUGUGCAAAGAUCAAGAGGACAAGAGCUCAAUUAAUGGUCCAUGAUGUGAGUCACCAUCCUGGGCACGUUGUCACCGCUUCACGUCAUUCUAAUGGGUGAAAGAUUUCACAAGCUCUGUCACUGUGUAGUGUAGUCUGAUUUUUUUUGUUUAGUUUUUUUUUUUUUUUUUACAAAAGGUAAAAAGAAAACAUGGCCUAUUUGAAUUUUUGACUUCUCACAAACAAUUGGUCUCAUUAAUAUGACCUAGUUUAGUCCAUUGCAUUUAAUCAUUCACUAAAUGUGAAAUAUCUUGUUAAAACAAUUCUUGUUAGGUCAACUAAAGAUUCCUUUAAAGGGGUGGUUUACUGCUUUUUUUCUUUGCAUGAUUGUGUUUAUGGGGUGC